CUGACACGAUAACUUAAACUGGAGGAGCCCAAUAAUGUGUAUUAUUUGCUGCCUUGGUCGAGACUGUAUGGUUAAAGCUCUCAUUUGCUUGGAAACUGGCAAGUUUUGAUAGUUUCUUUGAUUGGCUCUUUAUUUUUCCCGGAAACACUUACUCCAGAUCAGCUUUGAGACUUUUUAGAUUUCAAGUCCUUUAUGAAUGGUAAAUUUGUG
RNAcentral lists this long non-coding RNA (210 nucleotides) under Mytilus galloprovincialis (Mediterranean mussel). Lineage: Eukaryota; Metazoa; Mollusca; Bivalvia; Mytilida; Mytilidae. The record is from RNAcentral.